GGUUGAACUGGAGGCAGCUGUGUAAAAGCUGUUUACUCCUCUCCCAGCGCCAUAUUGUGGGAGAGCAGAUGCAUAGAAUAAGUCUUAAUUCCAGUAACUUAGUCUAGUCCGAAUUGCUCCCCACAUCUAGUCCCAGUUGGGGCGCUGGAUUCUGUCCCGGUUGCUCCUCUUCCAGUCCAGCUCUCUGCUGUGGCCCGGGAGUGCAGUGGAGGAUGGCCCAAGUCCUUGUGCCCUGCACCCGCAUGGGAGACCAGGAGGAAGCACCUGGCUCCUGGCUUCAGAUGGGCACAGUGCCGGCCGUAGCUGCCAUUUGGGGAGUGAACCAAUGGAAGGAAGACCUUUCUUUCUGUCUCUCUCUCUCACUGUCUAACUCUGCCUGUCAAAAAAAAAAAAAAAAGUGACAGUCACACAUGAAUUUUAUUGAAAAUGAGAAGCAAAUGAGACAAAUGAGAGGCAAGGUAACCUAUUGGGACCAGCCACCAAUCAGGACCAACACUCCUUACCAGAGUACAACCCCCAACAGCGGGUUACACAGCUUUUUAUAGUGUUCUGUCCACUAGGGCUCACAAUUUCGAACUGGACCCCUGGUAUGCAGUGAACAAUAAAGAGGAAAACCAGAAUAUGGUUGUAAGAUAACAGUUAACAAUAAUAAACCCAGUAACAUAUCCAAGUUAUGGUUGUAAGAUAACAGUGAAGGACACAUUUUGGUCAACCUCGUUCCUGGGAAUUUGGGCCCAAGUAGUUUCACAAGAUACACCCUUAGCGGUUAGCAAGCAAAGCUAAUAUGUGCAGAAGCAAGAGAUCUGCAAUUAGCUUUUAGCCACACUCACUCCAUUUUGAUUCUUAUUUUACAGUGGUAGUAGCCGAACCUGUGCUGAGACUUACUAGACUUGCACAGCUUGCGUUAACACCAUUGCCUGUGAGAGAGCUGUGCCCUAACAUCUUAUUAUCCAAGGAAAAGAGGAGUAGGUCCUUGUAGAAUAAAGAAACCUACAAGCAAGAACUAAUGCAGGCCAAUAUAAGACCUUACUGUGAGUGGCCAGUAUGCUGCUUACAUCAAGUAUAAAUUACGAGGGUGAAGAAAAGCUCCAGUGAGAGGCUGCCCACAUGAGAGUAGUGAGUUCAGCAUUCUGGCCAGUGUGGUAACAGCAGUACCGCAAGGGUGCAAGGAACAACAGAUUUGGAGCAUCACUUGAUCACAUGCAAGGACGGGAGGAACAGCAGAUACAAGGUUUCCCUCCAUCAAGGUUAAGUACAUCUUGAAGUCUCCAUGUUCCUUGGUAAGUAGUGGCUUGUUAGGGAAGCUAUACGACCUACCCCACUGAGCCAGAGACAGAAAGCUGGGAAUUCUAACAGAAAUCUAAAUGGUUCCAAGCAAUUUGGGUCAGUAUUUUACACCCAGGGCCCUAGUGAGCUUUGUUAACAACUCUGGCCUACCUAUUAUAAUCAAAUUAUAGAAUAUUUAAAACUAUAGCAGUCUAUUAAAACUUUAUGCAAACAGGGCAUUGGGGAUAAGAGGUGUCAAUUUUGAGGGUGAUUAAAGAAAGUAUAAGUGUUUAAUUUUCUAAAAUUAAUUGGUUAUUACUUGCUUCUUCUAUUCACUUCCCUUCUACUUCCUAAUCAAAUGGUGAAUAGUAAGCUCUUGAGGCUUCUCAACCUCUUGGAAAUUUUAAGUCUCAGGAAGUACAGGGAUAAUGACACUAUCAUCUAAGAAACCUUCCAAUUCCCUAAGUUGUAGAAUAUGUGGAUGAUUCAUUGCAUAUUGUCUUCAACUGUACAAUGUGGUAUAGGAGGAAGAGAAUGGAAUCAAAAUAUCUUUCUGUAUGGUCUUUAUGAUCUUAAUUAAUAUGGAUAAACAUUACUUCCUGGCUCCCUCUGAAUAGCCUAGGAUACUGAUGAGAAUCUCCGUUAAGAGAUCUAGGUCAUGGAUGCUGCAGGCCCUUAUUAUUUAAGAAUUAAUUUAUUCAUUAGACACUGAGAUAUGUUUUAUUUUUGGAUCUUCCUUACUCAGUUAUGACAUCUAGUUUGGCUAGGGUCAGGAAUGGCCAAGAAGUGGGGACAGAAGGUCAAAUCAUGAGCCAGGGAUAUGAUGGGCAAUCUCAUCUGGUCCAGAAUGUGUGGCAGGUUUUUACUAGAAUAUCACAGAGAAUAAAUCCGGAACUCCGCUUCUCAACCACAUUUUUUAUCCUGCAUGAAUAUUAAUUCAAAUAUGGUCCUGGAUCACAUUUCUCUCCUUAUGAGAAAGCCCUACAUUGGGGCUUUGCAAAACUGAUUUAAAACAGAAAUAGUGACCCACAUAGUGCUACAGAGGAGGCAUGUUUUAGGAAUCUAAAUGCUACAUUUUAAACCACUUCUAUAUAGCUAAUGUGUUAGCAAUACUGCUUCACCUCCCCUAGACUCAGUUCCUCAGUGACACAAGAAUAGAAGACACUUCUAACACAGAGUUGACAGGAGGAUUAAAUGAGAUAGUCCAUGUAAAGAAUUUAGUAUAGUGCCUGGCACAGAAUGAGCUUACAAUAAAAAGCUGGUUGUUAUGAGGAUGACAGACCUACAGGUUGCCCAGGAAAGCAUGAUUUUUUUUUGACAGGUAGAGUCAUAGACAGUGAGAGAGAGAGAGAGAGACAGAAAGAAAGGUCUUCCUCUGUUGGUUCACUCCCCAAAUGGCCACCACGGCUGGCGUGGUGCUGAUCUGAAGCCAGGAGCCAAGUGCUUCCUCCUGGUCUCCCAUGCGGGUGCAGGGGCCCAAGCACUUGGGCCAUCCUCCACUGCCCUCCUGAGCCACAGCAGAGAGCUGGACUGGAAGAGGAGCAACCGGGACUGGAACCCGGUGCCCAUAUGGGAUGCCGGUGCCACAGGUGGAGGAUUAACCAAGUGAGCCAUGGUGCUGGCCCAAGCCGUGAUUUCUUAUUAAGAUUGUGUUGUUGAAAUGAUUUGGAUGACAAAUGACAUGUCCACUUUAGUUUUUACGGUAAGUGAACAGAAUGGUGUAGCAAUUUUUGAUGGGAGGAAGUGAAAAUGGAGAGAAUUCCAGGAGCCUUAGGACUGGAUGAAGAUUAGUGCUCAUGAAAAGCAAGGUGAAAUGGGUUAUUCACCUUGGGUUGUUCAGAACAUAGAUAGUUUAGAGAAAAUGCAAAGUUGCUGAAUGUUUUCUUUUGCAAGCCUCAACUUAACUUUUCCAAUCUCCAUGCCCCUUUUGGACUCUGUUCUGCACAAACACACUCCUCUUCCAUGC
Non-coding RNA from Oryctolagus cuniculus (rabbit), 3232 nucleotides. Lineage: Eukaryota; Metazoa; Chordata; Mammalia; Lagomorpha; Leporidae. The record is from RefSeq and is a predicted model, not a curated record.